UACGAAGGGUGCAAACGUUGCUCGGAAUCAUUGGGCGUAAAGCGCACGUAGGCGGCUUCGCAAGUCGGAUGUGAAAUCCCGUGGCUCAACCAUGGACGUGCAUCCGAAACUGCGAGGCUUGAGUAUGGAAGAGGGUCGCGGAAUUCCCGGUGUAGAGGUGAAAUUCGUAGAUAUCGGGAGGAACACCAGUGGCGAAGGCGGCGACCUGGGCCAAUACUGACGCUGAGGUGCGAAAGCGUGGGGAGCGAACAGG
Molecule: ribosomal RNA, 253 nt
Filed under: uncultured bacterium
Lineage: Bacteria
Description: partial 16S ribosomal RNA
Rfam family: Bacterial small subunit ribosomal RNA
Source: RNAcentral